This 221-nucleotide long non-coding RNA is filed under the name Elaeis guineensis (African oil palm). RNAcentral describes it as "long non-coding RNA (EGUI_LNC033791)". The record is from RNAcentral. Lineage: Eukaryota; Viridiplantae; Streptophyta; Magnoliopsida; Arecales; Arecaceae.
UCGAUCGAAAGAUAUGCCGACUCGGCUACGAUCAGGUGGAACUAUAUGCUGACUUGACUACGAUAGGAUGGAACAAUAUGCCAACUCGACUACGAUCGGAUGAAACAAUAUGCCGACUCAACUCCGAUAGGAUGGAAGAAUAUGCCGACUCGAUUCCAAUCAGAGAAAACAAUAUGCCGACUCGACUACGAUCGGAUGGAACAAUAUGUCGACUCGACCAC